AUAUCUGCCCAACACUCCAACUAUGUACGCAAUAUCUGGACGCGUACAAAGUUGGAGUGUUGGGCAGAUAUUUAAGCAAUCCUGGAAUGGAUAAUUGGAAAGCAGCAAAACUAGCCAUGCGGUAUCUACUGAGAACAAAACAUUACAUGCUCACAUACAGAAGGUCGGAUAAGUUAGAGAUCAUUGGGUAUUCAGACUCCGACUUUGCAGGAUGUCAAGAUAGCAUGAAAUUUACAUCAGGCUAUAUAUAUUUGCUUGCUGGAGGAGCUAUCUCAUGGAAGAAUGCUAAAUAGACAAUCAUAGCUUCUUCCACCAUGGCAACUGAGUUUAUAGAAUUCUAUGAGGCAUUUAAUCAUGGAAUAUGGUUGAGAAACUUUGUCACUGGGCUAUAAAUCAUAGAUGGAAUAAAAAGACCACUUAAAAUUUUCUGUGACGAUAAGUCAGUAGUCUUGUAUUCCAAUAACAACAGGAGUUCAAGUAAGUCAAAGCACAUAGACAUUAAAUUCCUAGUUGUUAAAGAAAGAAUUCAAAGUGGUCAGGUGUCUAUAGAGUAUAUUGGCACAAACUCCAUGGUCGCGGAUCAGCUUACUAAGGGAUUGCCACCCAAGGUCUUUCAUGGGCAUACUGCUCAUAUAGGUGUCAUGUCUUUUGAGAAUAUUCAGUUUUAGUGGGAGUUUGUGUUUUUGGUUUUCUAUUAUAAACACAUUUUCAGUUUAUGGAUAUUUUGAGGAUAUUUUCUGCAGAAAUAAAAUUUCUUUCAGUUAUUCACACUUUGAUUUUGUUAUGGUUUGAUCUCAUUAAGGUUUAAAGUGGACCAGUUGAAAAUAGACAUGUUCAGAUCACAUUGCAUGUGAUUUUCAUGCUACACAUCCAUACUUGAUCUAUGUCAUUUGAUUAUGUUAAUAUACCUGAUUAGGGAUGGACUUAGUUACGACAUUCGUAACGAAAGUUGCCUUAGUUCUAUGUUGGCCUAAUUGAUGGACAAGAUUAUUUGGAAAUGCUUUUGAAUCAUGAUAGUAAAAAUUUGAGCUCAUAAGGUUAUAUUAU
Molecule: unclassified non-coding RNA, 1047 nt
Filed under: Hevea brasiliensis (rubber tree)
Lineage: Eukaryota; Viridiplantae; Streptophyta; Magnoliopsida; Malpighiales; Euphorbiaceae
Source: RNAcentral